Molecule: non-coding RNA, 115 nt
Organism: Acanthosepion pharaonis
Lineage: Eukaryota; Metazoa; Mollusca; Cephalopoda; Sepiida; Sepiidae
Source: the annotation of a GenBank genome assembly
UUACGCCCACAUUACGGUUUAAACAUCGGUUCCCACACGAUCACCGAAGUUAAGCAACGUCGAGCCUAGUCAGUACCUAGAUGGGUGUCCGCUUGGAAAUACUAGGUGCUGUAAG